GUUGAGUGUUAGGAAUUCUUUGUAUGUUUUGGAUAACAAUCCUUCAUCAGAUGUGUCUUUUUUCCCCAAUCUAUAUCUUAUCUUCUAAUUCUCUUGAUAUUAUCUUUCACAGAGCAGAAUAUUUAAUUUUAAUGAAGUCAAGUUUAUCAAUUAUUUCUUUCAUGUAUCAUAUAUUUGAUGUUGAAUCUAAAAACCAUCAGUGUAACCAAAGUCAUGUAGGUUUUCUCCUAUGUUAUCUUCUAGAACUUUUAGAGUUUUGCAUUUUACGUUUAAGAUCCGUUUUGAGUUAACUUUUGUGAAGGGUAUAAGAUGUGUGUCUAGGUGCGUGUUUUUUUUUUUUUGCAUGUGGAUGUAUUCUAGCUGCUUUUGUUGAGGAGACUUAUCUGUUCCAUUGUGUUGCCUUUGCUUCUGUCUCAAAGAUCAGUUACCUAUAUUUAUGAGAUGGUUUCUGGGCUUCUAAUUUAUCCCAUUGGUCUAUUUGUCUGUUCUUUCACUAACACCACAGUGUUUGAUUACUGUAACUUUGCAGUAAGUCUUGAAAUUGAGUAGUGUCAGUCCUUCAACUUUGUUCUCCUUUAAUAUUGUGUUAGCUAUUCUUGAAACUUUAUUUUUGACAAAUGUAGAUUUCUGGGUUUUAAGGACAUGCCAGAUUAGUAAAUGUAGGAAUGCUAGAAGAUAUUUUUGACACUAAGGGAAGAGACCAAAACUAAAGUGUAGCCACAAAGUUGGAUUGCCAUACCCAUAAUGAUAGAAAUUCAUAAGGAUAGUGUUGAGUCACCCAGAAAAGUUAUAUUGUGUCUUUUUUUUUGAAGUAACAGAUUAGGGGAACUAACCUUUAUUUAGUAUAAGAAAUUGGCUCACAUAGUUACGGAGGCUGAUAAGUCCCAAGAUCUGCAAGAUCUGGAGAUCUAAGGUUGCUGACGGUGUAAUCCCAGUCCACGUCUGAGGGGCCGAGAACCAGGAGGGCCAGUAAUGCAGUUCCAACCCAAAGACUGCAGGCCUGAGACACAGGAGGAGCCAUUGUUUCAGUCCGAGAUGAAGGAAGGAGAAAACUGCUGUCUCGGUUUGAAGGCAAUCAGACAGCAAGUGACUGCUGGGAAAAGGGAACUGAUGGCAUCCUGUCAUGAGCCCGAGGAUCCAAGGCAAAGACGCCUCAUUCAUAUACUGCUUCCUCAGGGGGCUGUCCCUAGACACUGCCUAAAGUAGUCCUUCCAGCUGCUCUCAUUUAUUCAUUCACAGAAGUUUACUGAGAGCCUGUCCAUGAAAGGUAUUGGGAAUUCAACAGUGA
Non-coding RNA from Odocoileus virginianus texanus, 1288 nucleotides. The record is from RefSeq and is a predicted model, not a curated record. NCBI's taxonomy places the organism in Eukaryota, Metazoa, Chordata, Mammalia, Artiodactyla, Cervidae.